RNAcentral lists this unclassified non-coding RNA (138 nucleotides) under uncultured Hymenogaster. RNAcentral's name for it is "partial internal transcribed spacer 2". The record is from RNAcentral. Lineage: Eukaryota; Fungi; Basidiomycota; Agaricomycetes; Agaricales; Hymenogastraceae.
AAUUCUCAACCUUAUCAGUUGGAUGGUGGGGGUUGCUGGCUCAGGUCAGCUCUCCUUAAAUGCAUUAGCUGGUGCGAUAUUGGUGUGAUAAUUAUCUACGCCAUGGAUUAGCACUGCUUCUAACGACACUACAUGACA